CACAUUUUCCACUGUUGUUAUAUAAUAAAUUGACCUACCUAAAUAUUAUGAUUUACGACUUAUGAGUAUGUAACUUAUGAUUUAUUACGGCUUAGUCGCAAAUUUUAAAAAUUUACUCGAAAAUUCUCGCAAAUAAAAGCGCAUAGUUUGGUAUCAAUUAUGAAAUUCUAGGGCGACUUGGAAGGGCUAUUUGAAAUUGGCCCACCCUUCUAUUUUUUAAUUAUAAUUCGCAAACGGCUUACUCGCAAAUUUUAAAAAUUAACUCGCAAAUUCUCGUAAAUAACUCACAAAAAAAAUUGGUAUAGGUACCAAGUUAAUCAAUGAAUAAGGGUGGACCGCCAACUUCACGUACGUCAGUCGUGUAGUUUAUUUUCUCGUUUUGUCUAUACGCGUAAUAACUCAGGACACGGAAAACGACUGAUAUAAUCAUAAUAUGCAUCACUAUUUAACAGCAUUUGCAUAUCAGCUGAUCUGUAAACCUUGGUACGUUUCAAGCGAUCAGUGAUUAUAAUUUACACAUACAUUUAGAUACAGUAUAAAUAUACAUAUGCACUUAAACACGAAUGGAUUCAUUAGCAUAUUUUGUAUAAGAGUUGUAGUUUCGUUAAAUAAAAUACAUUCUCUGUAUACUUAUUGAUAGACAUAGUGAAUUUUAUUUUUUAAUAACAAAACAGUUAUAAAAUACAACAAUAAUAGGGAACGUGACACUGUAUAGUUCGUUUGGCGAAAUAAAAUUGUCAUAUUCUGAUAAACAUGAUUUAGGACGAUUAUGGCGAUCAUAUGAGUACAUGUUUUUGCUUUUUUGGCAUUUAAUUUUCUCCUGAUAGUGAAGCGGUAUGACACACGUCAUACAGUCCUUGAACACGCGAGAUAACGGCCAAACUCGUACUGCAAAUUCGUAUACAUUUGGUAGCUACUUAGUAAAAUCGCUCAUUUCAAGAAGUGGAUGUUCACUACUUGAAACGUAUCCAUUAAUGAAUGUAAUAAUGUACAUAAUUCGACUAUAUUUCAUGUCAUAAAUACAUUUUUUAAAUAAUUAAUAAAUAAUUUACACUAAUUGAUUAUACAUCAUGUCAAAAACCAAUAAAUAACGAUUCUAUCGAUACGGGCACAGACAAAACGAUUAAAAUAAUAAAAGCCUAAACUAACUACGAGUAUAACCUAUCGCCAAUAAGCCGAACCUUCAAAGGACCGGUCCAAGGUCCAUCCCACCAUACUUUCCUAUAUAACAUGAGUUCACAAUCCUCUACCCAGCUACUUGGCCAGAGACCUUCAGUGCGUGCGUACCGACAUAUUAGUUAUAGGUCAUCAGGGUGUGGAUCACGCUUUUAGCCUAUAGGCUAUCAAUGCGUGCGUAUCAAACUUUUGGUCAUACGUGCGCACUGAUCGUCGGGACCAUCCGAGGAGCUUCUAGUUUACACUUUACGUUUUGAAUUUUCUUGUGCGAGUGACGGAAAAUGUCUAUCAUCAGCUUUCUGAAUACUUUGUCUGUGUUGGUUGAUUUCAACCUCACUUCACUCCUUUAGUAGUCAUAAGUGGUCGGCUCAUCGAUGCAUUAGCUCAUAUGUUAUGAAACAGUUUAAAGGAAAAACAUUUCGUCGAUAGCUUGAAAGUCAAGAAAAGUGGUCAUGACUGGCGAUGUUUCCUUUCAGAGAUUCACCUGUCACUCGCACACACGCCACACACUCUCAAAUGUGGUCAAAAGAAAAAAAAUUUCGCACACAAAUGGUCGUUCAUAUAAUACGACGAUAUCGUGUGUUCUCUCCUUUGGUGGUAUUAUUUAUUCAGUCAGCAGUUUUAAUUAAACCGACCGCAGUUGGCUAGAUGACAAGCUUUGCGACUAAAAUACUGUCGACCAUACCAGAUGUUACGCCUCGGAAUCCAUCAAACAGAAAGUGGGUGAUCAUUUGAUCCCGUUAUAAAUUUAAAUAAUUAUAGAAACAAUAAGUUGAAAUGUAUACUUAAAGAAAAUACGUUUUGAAAACUUAAAUCAGUGCUUCUCAACCUUUUUCAAACUGUCACCCCCCUAAGAAGCAAAAUGUUUUUCAAUGCCCUCCCCCCUUCACUUGAUUAAAAUAAAAAUAAAAUUGUAGAUAUACAUUAGGGUGUCCCUUAUUUCUGAAAUUAAUUUUUUUUGAAUCCAUAACCUCUAAUUUUUUUCUAUUUGGUCUUAAACUACCGAAUAUGAAAUAUUUCCCUCCUAGAAUAAA
Sipha flava (yellow sugarcane aphid) is the source of this 2210-nucleotide long non-coding RNA. RefSeq lists it as uncharacterized. NCBI's taxonomy places the organism in Eukaryota, Metazoa, Arthropoda, Insecta, Hemiptera, Aphididae. The transcript is spliced from 3 exons. The record is from RefSeq and is a predicted model, not a curated record.